UACGAAGGGGGCUAGCGUUGCUCGGAAUCACUGGGCGUAAAGGGUGCGUAGGCGGGUCUUUAAGUCAGGGGUGAAAUCCUGGAGCUCAACUCCAGAACUGCCUUUGAUACUGAGGAUCUUGAGUUCGGGAGAGGUGAGUGGAACUGCGAGUGUAGAGGUGAAAUUCGUAGAUAUUCGCAAGAACACCAGUGGCGAAGGCGGCUGACUGGACCAUUACUGACGCUGAGGCGCGAAAGCGUGGGGAGCAAACAGG
Molecule: ribosomal RNA, 253 nt
Filed under: uncultured bacterium
Lineage: Bacteria
Description: partial 16S ribosomal RNA
Rfam family: Bacterial small subunit ribosomal RNA
Source: RNAcentral